This 253-nucleotide ribosomal RNA is filed under the name uncultured bacterium. RNAcentral's name for it is "partial 16S ribosomal RNA". It matches the Rfam family "Bacterial small subunit ribosomal RNA", at positions 524 to 776 of the family's 1533-position model. The record is from RNAcentral.
UACGUAUGGUGCAGGCGUUAUCCGGAUUUACUGGGUGUAAAGGGAGCGCAGGCGGUUCUGCAAGUCUGAUGUGAAAGCCCGGGGCUCAACCGCGGGACUGCAUUGGAAACUGCGGGACUGGAGUGUCGGAGGGGUAAGCGGAAUUCCUGGUGUAGCGGUGAAAUGCGUAGAUAUCAGGAGGAACACCGGUGGCGAAGGCGGCUUACUGGACGAUGACUGACGCUGAGGCUCGAAAGCGUGGGGAGCAAACAGG